CGUAGGGUGCGAGCGUUAAUUGGAAUUACUGGGCGUAAAGCGUGCGCAGGCGGUUUUGUAAGACAGAUGUGAAAUCCCCGGGCUCAACCUGGGACCUGCAUUUGUGACUGCAAGGCUAGAGUACGGUAGAGGGGGAUGGAAUUCCGCGUGUAGCAGUGAAAUGCGUAGAUAUGCGGAGGAACACCGAUGGCGAAGGCAAUCCCCUGGACCUGUACUGACGCUCAUGCACGAAAGCGUGGGGAGCAAACAGGAUUAGAUACCCUGGUAGUCCACGCCCUAAACGAUGUCAACUGGUUGUUGGGUCUUUACUGACUCAGUAACGAAGCUAACGCGUGAAGUUGACCGCCUGGGGAGUACGGCCGCAAGGUUG
Molecule: ribosomal RNA, 370 nt
Filed under: uncultured organism
Description: bacterial SSU rRNA
Rfam family: Bacterial small subunit ribosomal RNA
Source: RNAcentral